Molecule: long non-coding RNA, 1280 nt
Filed under: Nicotiana benthamiana
Lineage: Eukaryota; Viridiplantae; Streptophyta; Magnoliopsida; Solanales; Solanaceae
Description: long non-coding RNA (NBEN_LNC018708)
Source: RNAcentral
GGGGCAAGAAAUUCUGUUCAGAAUCCUCCAAGAUGAGAGCGUGUCUCAGGUAAGUUCACUCUCAGUUCUCAAGACCCUCCUGGAUAAUGGGAUUUAGUUUUUAAAAUUCUCAGGACCCUCCUAGAUAAUGAGAUUUAACAAAGUUUUCAGGACUCUCCUGGAUAAUGGGAUUUCAUUUCAUAAUUCUCAGGACCCUCCUGGAUAAUGGGACUUAGUAUUUAAAAUUCUCAGGACCCUCCUGGAUAAUGAGAUUUAGGUUUUUUAAAAAUAAAAAAAAUUCUCAGGACCCGCAUGGAUAAUGGGAUUUAGUUUUUAAAAUUCUCAUGACCCUUCUGGAUUAUGGGAUUUAGUUAUUAAAAAUUCUCAGGACCCUCCUAGAUAAUGAGAUUUAGUUUUUAAAAUUUUCAGGACCCUCCUGGAUAAUGGGAUUCAGGAUUUUAAAAUUCUCAGGAUCCUCUUGGAUAAUGGGUUUAGCUUUUAAAUUCUUAUAGUUCUGUAGGUGAUAUGGUCCGAUUAACACUUAGAAAUAUGCCCAGAUCCCAAACCGGGGAAGAAAAAGUUUCUUUUGUUUUGUCUGUUUUGUUGCAGUAUCAGGCGUCCACCUGGAUAACGAGGGAAUACAUUUCAAGUUUUUGCAAUCAGGCGCCCACCUGGAUAACGAGGGAAUUCAUUUUAAGUCUUUGCAAUCAGGCGCUCACCUGGAUAACGAGGGAAUACAUUUCAAGUCUUUACAAUCAGGCGCCCACCUGGAUAAUGAGGGAAUACUUUUCAAGUCUUUGCAAUCAAGAGCCCACCUGGAGAACGAGGGAAUACUGUCCAAGUUUUUGCAAUAAGGGGGAAUAUAUUUUAUGUAAUUGCAAUCAGGCGCCCACCUGGACAGCGAGGGAAUACAUUCCAAGUUUUUGCAAUCAAGCGCCCACCUGGAGAACGAGGGAAUGCAAUCCAAGUUUUUACAAUUAGUCGCCCACCUGGAUAACGAGGGAAUACAUUUCAAGUCUUUGCAAUCAGGUGCCCACCUGGAGAACGAGGGAAUACAGUCCAAGUUUUUGCAAUCAGGCGCCCACCUAGAGAACGAGAAAAUACAUUUCAAGUCUUUGCAAUCAGACGCCCACCUGGAGAACGAGGGAAUAUAUUUCAAGUAAUUGCAAUCAGGUGCCCACCUGGAGAACGAGGUAAUUAAUUUCAGAGUUACUUCAACUCACAAAUUCAAGAAGCAUCAGGAGCCUGCCUGAAGAGCAGGGUCCAUUUUUCAGUUGCAUAUUGAAGUUCAAGUAGAGAUU